This 72-nucleotide transfer RNA is filed under the name Lachnospiraceae bacterium. RNAcentral's name for it is "tRNA-Arg". It matches the Rfam family "tRNA". From Rfam's summary of the family: Transfer RNA (tRNA) molecules are approximately 80 nucleotides in length. Their secondary structure includes four short double-helical elements and three loops (D, anti-codon, and T loops). Further hydrogen bonds mediate the characteristic L-shaped molecular structure. tRNAs have two regions of fundamental functional importance: the anti-codon, which is responsible for specific mRNA codon recognition, and the 3' end, to which the tRNAs corresponding amino acid is attached (by aminoacyl-tRNA synthetases). tRNAs cope with the degeneracy of the genetic code in two manners: having more than one tRNA (with a specific anti-codon) for a particular amino acid; and 'wobble' base-pairing, i.e. permitting non-standard base-pairing at the 3rd anti-codon position. The record is from RNAcentral. Lineage: Bacteria; Bacillati; Bacillota; Clostridia; Lachnospirales; Lachnospiraceae.
GCAUCUGUAGCUCAAUGGAUAGAGCAGUGCCCUCCGGAGGCAUGUGAGCAGGUUCGACUCCUGUCAGAUGCA